UAGAGACCCCUGUAGUCCUAGCCGUAAACUCUGCUUGCUAGUUGGUCGGAUUUAUCCGGCUGACGUAAGCUAACGCGUUAAGCAAGCCGCCUGGGGAGUACGGCCGCAAGGCUAAAACUCAAAGGAAUUGACGGGGGAGCGCACAACCAGUGGAGCAUGUGGUUUAAUCCGAGACGAAGCGAAGACCUUACCUAGAUUUGACAUGUACCUGCAUUCUCGCGGAAACGCAAGAAGCCUUCGAGGGUGGUACACAGGUGAUGCAUGGCUGUCGUCAGCUCGUGGCGUGAGUCGUCUGCUUAAGUGCAGGAACGAGCGCAACCCCUGCCGUGUGUUGCAUUUCACACGGGACUGCCCAUCUUCAAGAUGGGAGGAAGGAGGGGACGAAGUCAAGUCAGCACGUCCCUUACAUCUAGGGCCACACACAUCCUACAAUGGCAUCAACAACGGGUCGCAAUGGGGUAACCCGGAGCUAAUCCUUAUAAAUGGUGCCUCAGUUCAGAUUGCGGGCUGAAACUCGCCCGCAUGAAGUCGGAAUUGGUAGUAAUCGCAGAUCAGAUGGCUGCGGUGAAUACGUUCUCGCUCCUUGUACAACGUAAAUAUGCGCCUUCCGCGCAUGAUUUCUAACCGAAAGGUCCCCGAGCAAGUCGGGUGAAGCGAACGGACAGGCCUUUUCUCGUGAGAGAAAGGCUGAAGGGUCCCAGUAGCACUGCGUAGCUUGAAGCCAAGACGGCAGACCAAAGAAGCGACCCUGCGUACAAAAGGGGAAGCAUCUUGCUAUUCAAUCUUUGGUAUGUAAUUGGGCUCAAGAUAUGCAGACAUAUGAAGUCAUGUGUACGAAGGGAGAUCUGUAUUGAUCUCUAUUGAUCUCUAUUCAGAAUAGAGUAUGAUGAAAGUAAUAACAUCAAAUGUCUGUACAGAAGUCUGCAGAUACCAUAGUAUGCCUUUCCAUUUCAGGGAGGCAGAAGGGUAAAUUUCGCUUUAUUAUAGAAGCGGAACGUCGGCCAGGAUACGGGAAAACCGUGUGUCCGGUCGGGAGAGAAGCAAUACUCAGCAAUGAGAUGACUAUCUCAGAACACUGCCCGUCAAAUGAGUGAAGUUGGCAACGCCCGAAGUGGAUGUCUUUAACUCGCAAGAGGGAAGCGCUACUACGGCGAGGUCAAUGACAAGCGUUAAGUCGUCAGUCAAAAUAGAUUGAUAUAGCGACCUUUUCGAGUAAUUGAAAAGAAAAAAUUGGCUGAUAUCGGUGAAGUCUACGUGUUUGCGUAAAAACAUACAUAUGAGAAUACCGAGGGAAGCUCGAUGUCUAAUCACCGUCGUAGCCCCGUAGAGACUAAUAUAGAGGGUACCAGAUAAUCUGGAACUAAACUUCUAUUACACGCCGACGCCUUGUUUAAAAAACAAGGAUGAAGAUAUAGUCCAUGCCGGACGAAAGUCCCGGAAAAACAUGAACAAGGUAUCCCUACUGGAAGGUGGGGAUGGAUCACCUCCUU
This 1490-nucleotide ribosomal RNA is filed under the name Candidatus Levybacteria bacterium GW2011_GWC2_40_7. Lineage: Bacteria; Candidatus Levyibacteriota. The record is from RNAcentral.